UGCAGGAGAAUUCAAAUAGUUUUUUUACUCCUCAUGUUAUAAUUAAGAUUACAGAAGAUCAAGUUAAAACUAACCAGCAUAUUAUAACAGCAUUCAAUAUCCAACGAGGCAUAUAUGAAGUACUUACGAGGAGAGCAAGUGCAGGGUUAAAAGAUAAAGAAAAUUUUUAAACUGUGACUUUAAGUGAUAGAAAAUAUUCUUGUGAAAAGUGAAGCAUCUAUAGAUAUCUUUAUUCUUACGUUUUAGCUAUGUGCCA
This 256-nucleotide long non-coding RNA is filed under the name Elaeis guineensis (African oil palm). RNAcentral describes it as "long non-coding RNA (EGUI_LNC009067)". Lineage: Eukaryota; Viridiplantae; Streptophyta; Magnoliopsida; Arecales; Arecaceae. The record is from RNAcentral.